This 2325-nucleotide long non-coding RNA is filed under the name Medicago truncatula (barrel medic). Its description in RNAcentral is "long non-coding RNA (MTRU_LNC008031)". Lineage: Eukaryota; Viridiplantae; Streptophyta; Magnoliopsida; Fabales; Fabaceae. The record is from RNAcentral.
CUCUCUCUUUCCACUCUUCCAUCUAACCUUUCCCCUUUCUCUGUGUUCCCACUACCCCAUGAUUCAUCAUCCUUUUUCAUUUCAUUCUUCUACAUUUUCUCAUUCAAGCCAUCAAUUUUCAAACUUUAAGAGUCAUUAAUAGAUUAGGAUAGGAUAGCCAACCAUAGUAUAUGAAAAAGGAGAUAGACAAGGACAACCCCAAAUCACCAAUAUCUAGCAUCACACUUAUGUUCCUUUAGUUAAUCACCGAAUCACCAUCUUUCAAUUCUUCUUGAACUAGAAAACUUAUUCUAACUACAAAUCAAACCCCAAUUUCGUUUUAGUUCUUGUGGCCUACAUUGAGAGCUUGUAUGCCAUGCUUAUGAGUUGAUUUGGUAGCUAGAAAUUUGAUGGAAGCUAGAAGAAUGUUAAUACUUGAAGAUUGAAGCAAAAUAAGAGAUUUAGAAGCUAGUGUCGAUGCACUUAGAAGGCUAUGAGAAGGGAACUGUUGCUGUCUUUUAUGUACAAUAAGGAGUUGUUGCAGCGCAAUUGAGUUGAUUCAUCAUAACUGUGAGUUGAUAACGAUCAUUAUCGCUUAUUUUAAUUACAAUUAUUAUUAUUGGUAUUUUGAUUAAUUUCUAUGUCAAAGUAUUUACUAAAAUGGGGAAACACGACCUUUUAAUAUCUUACUCAUCAUCGUUAUAUAAUUUCAAAGCCACCAAAUUUAAUUAUACUCUAUUGUUGACUUGUGAUUUAUAAAGUAGAGGAAUUGAAAUGGAGAAUUUGAUUGUGUGAUGUUUUUAGUUGAAGUUUUGCUAUGUAGUGGAACGUGGUUUUGAAGUGUUUGUUUUUGAAUUGACGUGCUCUGAUUGGAUUGGUGUUCGGAUUUGAAUUUGCUUAUGAUCUAUAAAGUAUUAGAUUUUCAAUUAAGUUUUGAUCGUACUUAUUUUGGAUAUAAGUUUCGAUAUUUUGUGAAAUAUGGUUUUGGAGACAUUUUGAGAAUUUUGUUUUGAGAUUCGUGAUUAUAAUGACGACGACCUAGGUGCACCUAGUAUGUGAUUUCAAUUAGGUAGAGUUACCCCGUUAGAUGGAGCCGCCCCUAUGGAAAGGCCGCCAUUAGGAGGAGAGGGCUAUCAAUGAGAGGUAAACUGCUUAAUUGAAAAUGUUUUACACUUUGUUUUGAGUCGAGAGAAAAGAGCUAUCCGUUAAAUGGAGCCGCCCCUAUGGGAAGGCCACCAUUAGGAGGAGAGGGCUAUCAACGAGAUGGAGCUAGUUCUCGAUUCACCCAUUUUGAUUAUUUUCAUUAAAUUGAGUUUACUAUACUUUAAAAACAUUUUGUUUUGAGUCGAGAGAAAAGAGCUAUCCGUUAGAUGAAGCUACCACUAAGGGAAAGGCCACUCUUAGUAGGAAAGAGCUAUCAACGAGAUGGAGCUAGUUCUCGAUUCACCCAUUUCGAUUACUUUCACUAAAUGGAGUUUUCUAUACUUGCUUUAAAGGAUUUUAUUGUUAUGAUUUUCAUCUACACUUUCUUUAAACGAUUUUAUGGUGAUUUUCAGCUGUACUUUCUUUAAGGAUUUUAAUUUUUUUGUUCACCUCUUAAAACAUUUGAUUUUGAAAUAUUCUUAAUUAUGAUAAUGAUAUUCACAUACAAUUAUGCAAAGUAAUUGCAAGUACAAAUAUUCAGGUUGCUUCCAAAUAUUAGAUAGGUGAUGACUUGUAGUAAGGUUAUACCCGAGGGAUAAACUCACAACUUAAAAGGUGUAAUAAAACUUUCCCUAAUGAUUUAGUUCAGUUUAUGAUAGUUUGGUUAAACAAGCUAAGAGCAACAUAUUUGUUAUUUCUUAUUUGAUGGUGGAUUAAUUAUAGUCUACACGGUUACAAGUUUUGUAAAUCGAUAUUAGAUUUGAGAAAAAUAACUAUUCGUGCCAUUGUGUGUUUCCCUUCUAGUUGGUAGUGGUUGUUGUCUUCUCACUAAGUCUUUGUGACUUACCACUUCAUCUUACAUUUUUUUUCAGAUUUACAAUCAGGUGAAUUUAUGUUUCUAGAAGAUUACCGAUUCAGCAGAGUCCCUCUUUUGGUAGGCCUCUACUCCUUGAUGAACGACUCUUUUGUAUUAUAUCUUGAGUCGUUGGUGUAUCUGCAGCUAUUUGAGUCUAGGAAUACUAUUAUUUUGGGAUAUACAAACUUUGGAUAUGUAGUCUCUCAAAUUCUGCUUGAUGGCAUAUGUUUGUAAGCAAGGUUUUUAGUUUGAAAAUGUUGAAGAUAGAAAUAUACUUUGUCAAAUUGUAGUAAGUUUUGGUUUCAGAGUGUACUAUUUAUUCACAAGAUAUUUGUCAAGUGUGGUUU